AUGCGUAAGUCAUAGGUAGGUAAUUAAAUCAAAAUUACAAAAUAUUCAAUUGAAUUGAUCAUCGAUGAUCGCAAUUAAAAAAUGGUAUUCGAUUUUAUUACCUGCUCUACACAAAUAAUAAAACUGGAAAAUAAAUUUUCCUAUCGAAUUGAAAAUAUAAAAGUAUCCGAGUAAGGACCUAUAACGUGAAACUUUACAUUUGCAAACAUAACAUCGUCUGCUUGGCCUAUUUGUGGAAGAACUCCAGACAUGUGUAAAAUUACAAUUUUCAUCAUCAGUUUAUGCAUCGUCUACAUUGCAAUGAUUACAGAAGCUAAAUCUAAAUCUGUAGAUAGAACGUGUGCUUUUAAUGGUAAGCAACACCCCAGUAAAGAUAAGUGCUCGUGGCAAUGCUAUGUAGACUGUAAUUUGGACAAGAGAUGCGGCGGAUACGUAAAAUGUAUACCAUCAGAGGAAAACAAGAAAUGGUUUACAUGCGUUUGUGAGAAUUAUUGAUUAUGUGCCCAACAAGAUUCAAUUUCAAGUAUUGUGAUAAGUUAAUUUAAGCUAUAGUGGUCCCUUAUGCAUAAAUUUUCAAUCUAGGAUGUGUUUGCGCUUCAGUCUCCAGACUGAGUCAUUGUCCAUGAGUUUUCUCAACAACAGCAGCAACGACAAAAUCACCGAUGCAACUUGCACCAGAAUAAUUUUGACAUCAAUCCGCAAAAUGUGACUAGCCUGGGUGCAAGAAUCCGAAACUACGUGGAAUAGCGAGCCCCAUACGCUUUGUCAAAACUCACUCUCCUCAUCAAAUUCAAAAUUGACUCAGUCUGUAUUGUUGUUUUUCAAAAUCGUGGAUCCUCCAGUGGAGGGGGAGUUACGCUGUGGCUCUUUAUAGGAAAUCCACCUAUCAAAAAGAAAAUUAUAGAUAUUUUUUGUAAUUUUUGAAAAUUUUAAAACAAAGCACAAGCUAUCGAUGGCCUGGUUCAAAUACCACUCAAGUCCUGGAUUUAUACAUAAUAAAGUCCGACAUACUUACUAGGUUUAUAGUAUAGAAAAACCACAUUAGUACAAAAAUUUCAUCAAUUAUAAAUUUGAAAACCUCAUAAUGUCAUCUUGAUACGCAAAGUGGCUAUGGCUAACUCCAUUUUUGUAAAUUGUUCAGGAAAUGCAAAAAACAGCGUUAUCAACUAAGUAUUGAUGGGUGUUACAUAGUUGAGGUUAUUUAAGUAAAAGGCUACUAAAAUUUUUUUUUCACUUGACACAUUUUAAGCCACUUCGAGUGGAGUUGGAUAUUUUUCCCAACUUCAAACACUGAUACUACACCAAUGAAUUCACCUGAGGUAAUUUUCAAUGUCGGAAGUUACAUACGAAGUGUUCACCUUUCAGAUGGUGUUCAUAACUCAUUUUCAUGUAGCGUAAAAAUGAAACAGUUUCACAUAACUAAAUACUCAGUGUGUUAUCAUUUAGUAGAGUCAGAUGAUUUUCCUGACUUUAACCACAAAUAAGAUGGGCCUGCAUAUAGGUGUGUUUUGAAGGUUUCAACUUAUGAAUUAAGUGAAGAAAAAUCAGAUGGCACUCAUAACUCAUUUUGGUCAAAAAUUGGAGUUAGCCACUUUGUGUAUUAAGACGAUGACAAGUCCUUGUUAAAAACCACAUAAGUCGUAUGUACCCGUACAACAAUGACCAUGCUAAUUUCGAUGUGAAUGUCGACCCAUCCACAUCCGUCACUUUUGGAUGCCACAUGUCAAUGUGAAUUUCGGCUCUGUGUCAAGCCAAUUGUUGAUGUAAUUGUCGACAGGGGUGCUAACCUUAAUUAUUUUAAUUUCAAUUACGGUUUCACUCCAAUUUUUCCUUGGAAUUUUUCAGUUUUAGGUUUGGUUUUGGUUUUGAAAUUCAAAAUUUCGGGUUUCGGUUUCGGUUUUGAUCUCAUUUAUAAAAAUUUUGGUUUCAAUUUUGGUUUUCGGUUUUUUUCGGUUUUACAUAAUUUUUUUUUUCAAACAUCUUCAAUUCAAAAUUUCUCAAUCUCAGGAAACAAAGUAUAUUAAUUUCAUAUUAAUUCUAAAAAAGUAUAUAUUUUUCAAGAACAAUAAUUUGUAUAAUUUUUUUAAUACAUAAAUUUGUAAACAAAAGUCAAAAAAGUGAAAAAAUCCCCCCAAAAAAAUAGAAAAACCUGAAAAAACCCAAACCGAAAACCGAAAAAAACCGAAAUAAAUUAUAUCGGUUUAGCUUUCGGUUUCACUCACUCUGCUUCAUUUUUAUUGUUAUGGUUUUUUACAGUUUUUAAAAAAACUAUGAAAUUUCGGUUUUUGUUUUCAGUUAGGGUUUGAAAAUGGCUAAAAUUAGGUUCUUGUUUGGGUUUCGGUUACGGUUUUCGGUUUUUUGCGGUUACAGUUAGCACCCCUGAUUGUCGACCAAUGUUGAUCGGCAUUUAUGUCCACAAUUGGCUCGACACGGGGCCAAAAUUUACAUCGACAUGUGGAGUCCAAAUGUGACGGAUGUGGAUGGAUCGACAUUGGCAUUGAAAUUUACGUCGACCUCCAGCUACGCAAAAUUGUUAAAUUUUAUUAGUUUCAAAAUUGAAAUUUUUUCCAAAAAUCAUUUUCUCUUACACACUUAGGUUAGGUGGCCAUUGCUCAUGCUGAAAGCGAAAGCAGAAUCCACGCGGGGCCCCCACCCACGAGAAGUACAGACAGAAAGUCCAUAUUCAGUACAGUUGAACAUUAUACUCUUCAUACUGAAAGGCGCAAUAGGUUAUCUAAGAGUACUAAACUAAUACAUUUUCAUGUCGACGACAUGUCGAUGUUGAUGUUGAUGUGAAAUUUGACAUCAACAAAUACAUCCACAAUAAUAUCAACUCAAUUUUUCAAAUUUGAGAAAUCUUUGAAAAUUUGGUCGAUGUUAGUGUCGAUGUGUUUGUGGAUGAUCGACUUUCACAUCGACAUAACAUCGACAACUCCAAACUAUGGAAAAGUGAAUGAUUUUAUCAAUGCCAUUAAAAAAUUUUUCUCCCUUCAAACAAAGAUCAUCUUUUCUAAUGUUUACUGAGCUUUUAAACACUGAAACAGACAUUUUAAUUCUGAAAAAUUGGUCGACAUAGUUGUGGAUGUAAAUUUUGAGCAUCGAAUUUCACAUCAACAUGUUGACAUCGCAUGUCAAGGUAUCAGAAAUAAUGAGAAAAUUUCGAAAAUUUUCAUUAACCUGGCUUCUUUACGGACAGAAGAUUCCUAUUGAAUAACUCAUUGGUCACUUUUCCAUCAUCAUGUUGGAAAAAAACAUAGUCGAUGUAAAUGUCGACGUCGACAAUUGUUAUAAGGGUAAGGUAUGAUGAUGAAAACCUUGUAUGUAGUCUUUAGGAACCUUUUAUGUCCUUUCAAAGCGCUUUAAUCAACUACCUACUUAUAAUUGAGGAGGUGGAUAGCAGAACGCAAUAACUCCAAAAUUACGAAAAUUGAGUUAGAUAUCUAUCCUUAUGUAAAAUUCAACGGGGAAUCCAUUCCCGGUGUCAGAUUUUGUCCAUCAGUUGAAUAUCAUAGCGCAAUCGAGGAAAACAAGUCUGAUUUUAGAGCUAAAUGCAUUAAAAAAUGAGAUUUUGUUUGCAAACCGCAAUAACUCCACUACUUUUUAUACAUUUCAGUUGCGCAGAUGUGGUAACACUGUUUUUUUUCAUCGGGUAGAUACUGAAACUCAUUGGGUAGGAGUUACUAAAAAAAAUUGUGCUUUCGUUCCCACUCUCUGAAUGCUAUAUCACAGACAGGAAUUGUUUGAAUUUCGCAUUUCAGUUUUGUAUUGAAAAUUUUCGAUUAAACAUACUUUUUUUCAAUAAUUUUUCAAUUUCUUCAAAUAAAAAAUACGUUUUUUUUGCAGAAAAACACCCAAAAAAAAAAUUUGCGUUCAAAACGCAAUAACUUUUUUUCCUUUUCCUCUCUGUGCUUACCCAGGUGACCAAAAUUUUGAAAUUGAGUGGAAAUUUCAUUUAUGGCACCCUCCCCUUUCAUUUGACACCAAUUUUGAAACUCGACCCCCCACCCCUCCCCUCCUGGCCAUUUUUCCUAAUUUCCCCAAAAAAAACAAAAAUGGAGUUAUUGCGUUCUGCUAUCCACCUCCUCAAUUAAUCAACCUAUAAAAUAUUGUCAGACCUUACUGUUAAGACCCCUAAAAUGAGGAGAAGGUACAAUUAUGGACCCCUGGACAUGGGCAAAUGUGGACGGGAUCACUCUUUGUUUAGAGAAAACUGUGGUAACUUACCUGAGAACUUACCAGUACGUUACCAUGACAUAAAUUACCAUAAGUUACCGCGGUAAUUUAUAAAUUUUCGAUAGAAAUGUUGACAAGGGUAAUUUUGGACGUUUGCACGAACUCCUAGAGCUGUCUAGAUACAACAAGUUACAAUUUGCUCAUGCUUCUGGUGAAAUACACUGUAGUUGUAAUACAAACGAAUUGAAACACAAUUAUUUGACCACUUCAAUGUGUAAAUAAAUAGGUAGGUAGGUAUUACAAAUCAUCAAAAGUUGUGUUUUUUUUCUUUUUGAAUGCUGUGUCUGUGUGGUUUGAACUUGAACUUGAGAAAUUAUUGAUGUUGAGAAAAUGUGAUUUCUUUACCAUAGGUACCUAAUUUCGUUCUUGAAUUUUGCGGUUUAGGUUUUUCUUGUGAGGAAAUCCUGGAAAACUGUGGUUUGAAAUCCAAAUUUCAGUAUCUCAAAAUCUCACAUCAUGAUUCAAAACUGGUUUUAGUUUACUUUUCAAAUUGAAAAAUUUCCGCAUCCACAGCUAUCAAAUUUUCCAAGGUUUUUGAGGGAGAAAAAAUUGCUUAAGAAGUGAAGGAAUUCCAGAAAUUGUCAAAAUCAAUAAACUCGCUUUCCACAAGAAAACUACGAUUUAUUUUUUCAUUGAGUCGUGAUCAGUUUCUGAAAAACUUCCAUCAUCAGACACUGACCGAAUAGGCGAAUACCUACAGUAGAUAAUUGAAAAUUUGAAAAUGAAAACGAAGUCGAAACAAAUGAUACAAAUAAGACGAAAAAUGAAUGUUGAUGUUACAUGUGUUAGGUGCCUACAUAAAUCAGGUCAAUAGACCUAUCGUCGUAGUAAUUAGUGAUUAGUGUUAUCAUUUAUUGCCUAACAUGUAUUAAUCAACAAUUUUCAACGAUUGUUGUUAAUUUUAAUGCUUUUUAAUCGAGAUUCGAAAUAUGUAGGGAACUAAAAUUUUAUUAUAUUUAUAACCCACCUACGUGUAUUACAUACGUAUAGUUUUUUGCUGCAUUUUUUUUCCUGUUGAAUUAAAUUCGAGAAAAUGUAGUAAGAAUACGUACCUACGUGCCUCGUUUUCUCCAAAUAAUGGUAAAAAAGUGAACUCGAUAUGAGUAAAAAUACGAUUUUUGUGAUCAGUUUAUUGAUUGUUUAUGUUGCUGUAGUUCCAGAGAUCGAAUCUGGCAGAAUAUGCGACGCUGAUGGCAAAACCUUCUUUACUUAUGAUAGUUGCAUAGUUACGUGCCAUACAGGUUGUGCGGCCAACGAAUGUGGAAAAAUCAGAGCAUGUAGGAAGGUAGUGGACAAAAGCGUAGAUCCAUAUUAUGAAUGUAUUUGCGGGAUUAAUAAGUACUCGUGAAUACGAGCACAAGGUUCAAUUUAAAUUAGGUGCUGUGACGUCUUAAUUUAGGCUUUUUGUAGACUAAUAAAUUUACCUAUACUAAAAACUCGA
Molecule: long non-coding RNA, 5674 nt
Organism: Planococcus citri (citrus mealybug)
Lineage: Eukaryota; Metazoa; Arthropoda; Insecta; Hemiptera; Pseudococcidae
Exons: 4
Source: RefSeq, a predicted model, not a curated record